CACAAUGGGCGAAAGCCUGAUGCAGCAACGCCGCGUGAGCGAUGAAGGUCUUCGGAUCGUAAAGCUCUGUCCUCAAGGAAGAAUUUUGACGGUACUUGAGGAGGAAGCCCCGGCUAACUACGUGCCAGCAGCCGCGGUAAUACGUAGGGGGCUAGCGUUAUCCGGAAUUAUUGGGCGUAAAGGGUGCGUAGGCGGUCCUACAAGUCAGGGGUGAAAGGCUACGGCUCAACCGUAGUAAGCCUUUGAAACUGUAGGACUUGAGUGCAGGAGAGGAGAGUGGAAUUCCCAGUGUAGCGGUGAAAUGCGUAGAUAUUGGGAGGAACACCAGUUGCGAAGGCGGCUCUCUGGACUGUAACUGACGCUGAGGCACGAAAGCGUGGGGAGCGAACAGGAUUAGAUACCCUGGUAGUCCACGCCGUAAACGAUGAGUACUAGGUGUCGGGGGUUACCCCCCUCGGUGCCGCAGCUAACGCAUUAAGUACUCCGCCUGGGAAGUACGCUCGCAAGAGUG
Molecule: ribosomal RNA, 511 nt
Filed under: uncultured Bacillota bacterium
Lineage: Bacteria; Bacillati; Bacillota
Description: bacterial SSU rRNA
Rfam family: Bacterial small subunit ribosomal RNA
Source: RNAcentral